GGGCGCGUAGCUCAGCGGGAGAGCACUUCGUUGACAUCGAAGGGGUCACAGGUUCAAUCCCUGUCGCGCCCA
RNAcentral lists this transfer RNA (72 nucleotides) under Methylocystis heyeri. It matches the Rfam family "tRNA". From Rfam's summary of the family: Transfer RNA (tRNA) molecules are approximately 80 nucleotides in length. Their secondary structure includes four short double-helical elements and three loops (D, anti-codon, and T loops). Lineage: Bacteria; Pseudomonadati; Pseudomonadota; Alphaproteobacteria; Hyphomicrobiales; Methylocystaceae. The record is from Rfam by way of RNAcentral. RNAcentral also lists the same sequence under 1 other name.